CAGAAAGUGGAUCAUCUGCCUCUGGACUGUGGUUGAGAGCAGAAUUUUUAAAAGAUAAAAUGAAGCUGUAUCAAAUCUGUUCAGAAAGUAUGUAAGACCAGAGGACCAGAACUUCAAUAAAAAGCCAAGAAUAGCUGCCCAGUGGCCCCAGGAUGGGUAUGGAGGUAGCAUGGCAGUUAAGAGAUGCCCAGGACACAGAGAAAUCAUAUUCAGAGGAAUACCUCCUGAGCCAGCAGAAGAUGCACCAGAAAUCCAGCCUCCGCCUGGAAGUUCAAGCAGAGUCUUUGCCACUUUCCAAGAUUGGCUGUCUCUCUGCGGAUCCCUCAGUGUCCUUACAGGAGACAGGCACAGAGAGAUUUGACACAGACAGAAAAGAAGACAGUACGAACAUGGAGACAAGAGACUGGAAUGAUGCAGCCACAAGACAAGGGAUGCUGGCAGCCACCAGAAGCCAGAAGAGAGAAGGAACCGAGUCUCCCCUAGAGCUUCUGGAGGGAGCUUGGCCCUGCCCACAUCUUGAUUUUAGCCCAGUGAUACUGAUUGCAGACUUCUGGCUUCCAAAACACUGAGAAAAUAAAUUUCUAUUGUUGUGAGAUA
Long non-coding RNA from Neofelis nebulosa (Clouded leopard), 597 nucleotides. RefSeq lists it as uncharacterized. Lineage: Eukaryota; Metazoa; Chordata; Mammalia; Carnivora; Felidae. The transcript has 3 exons. The record is from RefSeq and is a predicted model, not a curated record.